This 253-nucleotide ribosomal RNA is filed under the name uncultured bacterium. RNAcentral's name for it is "partial 16S ribosomal RNA". It matches the Rfam family "Bacterial small subunit ribosomal RNA", at positions 524 to 776 of the family's 1533-position model. The record is from RNAcentral.
UACGUAGGGUGCAAGCGUUAUCCGGAAUUAUUGGGCGUAAAGAGCUCGUAGGCGGUUUGUCGCGUCUGCUGUGAAAACUGGCGGCUCAACCUCCAGCCUGCAGUGGGUACGGGCAGACUAGAGUGCGGUAGGGGAGAUUGGAAUUCCUGGUGUAGCGGUGGAAUGCGCAGAUAUCAGGAGGAACACCGAUGGCGAAGGCAGAUCUCUGGGCCGUAACUGACGCUGAGGAGCGAAAGCAUGGGGAGCGAACAGG